UCGGGUCGGUUUCACCGACCAUGUACACCCCUACCGUCCAUAAUGAGGAUAUUGAGCUGAUUUCUCUUCUUCCUCGUCCGCUCCCGCCACGUCACCAUCCCAAUCUAAUCUCGCCACGCCUUCAUCACCGGCGGUUCCAGUGACGGCGGCCUCGUCCUCUGCCGACGGCGCUCGUGUCUCCAUCCUCGAAGCCGGUCAGCAGUCCAUCCGCCUCGCCACUGGCAUAGACGUCGACGACGCAGACGUGUGUAAUCAAGGAGUAUUUGUGCUGCAGGAAUUAGAGAGUCAUGGUUUGGAGCAGAAUGGUUCAGUUGAGGCACCUACAUCCUCCACCUCAGUCGAGAGCUGGAUUACCUCUUCCAAUUAUAAAAUGGCGGGGCUUGCGGAGGUUCUUUUGGUUAUGUCCUUACAGAAAUUCGGAUAAAAGAAAUAAAGCACGGAUAAUAGAGAUUUAGAGAGCAGAAAGAUGCAGGAUAUUUCAAGCUCUUAUAAAAGAACCUCACCUUUGUCCUACAGCAACUAAGAUGUUAAAGGUGAAAGAAGAAGUAUGUUGAUGAGGGCCAGUAUGCAAGCAUGAUCGUAAAGCGAGUACACCAAAAAGCCAUUGCUUGAGAGCUUUUGCCAAUGGAGAUAAAGAGAGAGCUCGUCGAUAGGCUUUCUGUUGCAGACAAAAUAGAGCCCAUUUUGCUUGAUGGUAAGAAAAUAGGUAUGCUGAUGAUAGCAAGUAUCCAAGAAUGCGGCUUCAAAGGCAGACAGCUUCUCCCCGAUCCCCCUGCAGUCGUAAUUCGGAUUUUUUAAUCUUAUGUGUCAAUCCGUCAGUCGCCGACUACCUCAGCUCGGACUACUAAGGAUGUGAUAGUGGAAGCAUCUGACGCAGAAGUUAAUGAAGCUAAUUGAACUAGUGGUGGUAAUGGGAGGAUCAGGACAAGUUGCAUUGACAGUUAGAACUUUGAUAUGGUUAACUUGAAGCAAUUGGCUUCUGAACUUGAUAUUAAUAGGUCUAUAAUUGAUAUAUGAGUGCAGCAUAAGGAUUGUCAAGAGGAGCCAGUCGAAGAGUCUACUCGUCCUACAGGUUUGAGUUGUCAGUUAGCAGAAAUUCAUGAGCAUGUAGUAGCGGCAGAGGUUCAACUCAAAUUUGUGAAAACCGAGUAUGAGAGCCUGAUUGAGAAGCUUGUCCUUCAAUUCAAACAGGUCAGGGGCUGUCAUGAAGAACUUCAAAAAGUGCAUUUUGAUAUGGAGUCACCGUUAAACCGUAGUCUUGCUACUGAAACACAUCAAAGUAAUGAAAAUGCAGAGUUGAUGACAACUGUUCACUGGCUAAGAUCUGAGUUAGAAGCCUCUGUCAUUGAAAUCAGGGUCCUGUCAGAAUCAAUUAGUGUUUUAAUGCCUCGACUUGAGGAAUUCAAGAGGAAGACGGUUAUUCUGGAGGCUGAACUUGAUCAUGAUUCAAGAGUCCACAAUGAAUUUAACUACAAGCUGGAAAUAGCCGGGGAGGAGAUUUGUGAAUUGAUAUUCUGUAAUACUGAGCUAGAAAUUAUAAUCAUUGUUCUAAAAGAUAAACCAGAUGGACAGAAAGGUCACAUAGCGCUGAUGGAAAAAUCUAGUGUUGAAUCCUUCAAGGACAGAAUCAGAUUGAUGAAGUUAGACAAAAGCUGUCUGAAUAGAUUCUUAGAACAUAAGAAUUCAAAAACUUGUAUGUUCACUUGAAGGAGCUCAAAGCUGAAGCUGAAUGUCUCUCGGCUCAUGAGGAAAAAGGACCUGAAGGGCCAUCUUUUGUUGUUCAAGAGUCCUUGCGAAUUUAUUUCGUUAAGUAACAAUAUGAAACCAAGCUUCAAGAGCUAAGGCAACAGCUCUCAAUUUCUAAAAAGCACGGGGAGGAGAUGCUAUGGAAAUUACUAGAUGUUGUUAAUAAACUUGAAGACAGUUAGAAAACUGAAGUUUCUCACUUGAAGAAAGACGAAGAGUUGUCGAUUGAGGUCUUGGAGUUGGAGGCCGAAUUACAGUUAGUAUUCUCUGGUAAUCGUGAAAAAGUUAAUGCUUAUGAUAGAAUUUUAGGAAAUUUUAUAGGAAGGUGUUUGCUCCAGAGUAUCUUCAAGCGAAUAGCUAUUAUAUAAUUUCCGAAAUUAUAAUUUUUCUUUGUUGCAUUGUA
Daucus carota subsp. sativus is the source of this 2149-nucleotide long non-coding RNA. RefSeq lists it as uncharacterized. The transcript is spliced from 6 exons. The record is from RefSeq and is a predicted model, not a curated record. Lineage: Eukaryota; Viridiplantae; Streptophyta; Magnoliopsida; Apiales; Apiaceae.